Molecule: ribosomal RNA, 119 nt
Filed under: Pteropus alecto (black flying fox)
Lineage: Eukaryota; Metazoa; Chordata; Mammalia; Chiroptera; Pteropodidae
Source: RNAcentral
AUCUAUGGCCAUGCUACCCUGAACAAGCCCGAUCCCAUCUGAUCUCAGAAGCUAAGCAGGGUUGGGCCUGGUUAGUACUUGGAUAGGAGACCACCUAGGAAGACCAGGUGCUGUAGGUG